RNAcentral lists this ribosomal RNA (253 nucleotides) under uncultured bacterium. RNAcentral's name for it is "partial 16S ribosomal RNA". It matches the Rfam family "Bacterial small subunit ribosomal RNA", at positions 524 to 776 of the family's 1533-position model. The record is from RNAcentral.
UACGUAGGGUGCGAGCGUUAAUCGGAAUUACUGGGCGUAAAGCGUGCGUAGGCGGUUCGUUAAGUUCGUUGUGAAAGCCCCGGGCUCAACCUGGGAAUGGCAAUGAAACUGGCGGGCUGGAGUAUGGCAGAGGGGGGUGGAAUUCCGCGUGUAGCAGUGAAAUGCGUAGAGAUGCGGAGGAACACCGAUGGCGAAGGCAGCCCCCUGGGCCAAUACUGACGCUCAGGCACGAAAAGCGUGGGGGAGAAACAGG